This is an RNA transcript of Xenopus laevis (African clawed frog), 2379 nucleotides long. It is a transcript of the gene named aldehyde dehydrogenase 1 family member A1 L homeolog, with no coding region annotated. The record is from RefSeq and is marked provisional. The transcript has 14 exons. NCBI's taxonomy places the organism in Eukaryota, Metazoa, Chordata, Amphibia, Anura, Pipidae.
AGGGGAAAAAGUCAGUCAGCUUUGCUACUACUUCAGUUUAUUCCACCUGUCUAAAGGGUAAAGAGACUUCAAACAUGUCCGUGAAAACCCUUCCUCAAGGUUUGCCAGCUCCCAUUAGCAACUUGGAAAUAAAAUACACAAAGAUUUUCAUAAACAAUGAAUGGCACAAUUCUGUAAGUGGAAAAAAAUUUCCUGUCUACAAUCCAGCUACUGGAGAGAAAAUAUGUGAGGUGGAAGAAGGAGAUAAGGAAGAUGUGAACAAGGCUGUGAAAGCAGCAAAAGAAGCUUUCCAGAUAGGGUCUGCAUGGCGAAGGCUGGAUGCUUCUGAAAGAGGCAGGAUGCUUAAUAGGUUGGCUGACCUUGUGGAACGUGAUAGGUUGAUUCUAAGCACCAUGGAAUCUAUUGACGGUGGAAAGCCAUUUGCUGCAUCCUAUUAUGGAGAUAUACCUGGAGCUAUUAAAUCACUGCGCUACUGUGCAGGAUGGGCUGACAAAGUCCAAGGCCGUACAAUACCAAUGGAUGGGGACUAUUUUACUUUUACAAGACAUGAGCCUGUUGGAGUGUGUGGUCAAAUAAUCCCAUGGAACUUUCCGUUGUUGAUGUUUUCUUGGAAAAUUGCUCCUGCUUUAUGCUGUGGUAACACAGUUGUCAUCAAGCCAGCUGAACAAACUCCACUGACUGCUAUCUACAUGGGGUCUUUAAUAAAGGAGGCAGGAAUUCCUCCUGGGGUAGUGAAUAUUGUACCAGGAUAUGGACCAACAGCCGGAGCAGCUAUAUCUUAUCAUAUGGAUAUAGACAAAGUGGCUUUCACUGGUUCAACAGAGGUUGGAAAGCUGGUAAAAGAAGCAGCAGGAAAGAGCAACCUUAAAAGAGUCACACUUGAACUUGGUGGAAAAAGCCCUAACAUCAUUUUUGCAGAUGCAGACUUGGAUUUGGCAGUUGAGCAUGCACACAAUGGCCUGUUCUAUCAUCAGGGCCAGUGUUGCAUAGCAGGAUCCAGGAUCUUUGUUGAAGAACCAAUCUAUGAUGAAUUUGUGCGUAAGAGUGUUGAAAGGGCCAAAAAACGUGUACUUGGAGAUCCUCUUACUCCUGGUGUAUGCCAAGGACCACAGAUUGACAAAGAACAAUACAACAAAAUCCUUGAAUUGAUUGAGAGUGGAAAGAAAGAAGGCGCAAAGUUGGAAUGUGGGGGAAGUGCAUGGGGUGAGAAAGGUUUCUAUAUUAGCCCCACAGUCUUUUCAGAUGUGAAGGAUGAUAUGCGUAUAGCCAAAGAAGAAAUUUUUGGGCCUGUGCAACAAAUCCUGAAGUUUAAAACAAUUGACGAAGUUAUUAAGAGGGCAAACAAUACCAACUAUGGAUUAGCUGCAGGAGUUUUCACCAAAGAUAUGGACAAAGCAAUAUUAAUGUCUACAGCUCUUCAGGCUGGAACUGUUUGGAUAAAUUGCUACAGUGCCAUGUCUCCACAAAGCCCUUUCGGCGGGUUUAAGAUGUCCGGAAAUGGCCGUGAAAUGGGCGAAUAUGGCCUGCAUGAAUACACUGAAGUCAAGACGGUUAUCAUGAACAUUUCACAGAAGAAUUCCUAAAGAUGUCACGUCACCAAUAUCCUGAAUGCCUGGAGGAUCGUGGAAACACUGUCAUAUUUGUGUGCAUAAAUCUCAUGAUAACAACAGCUGCAAAUAUUUGUGGUGCUGGUAAAAAAAAAAAAAAUCUUUAUUAUAGUGAAGUUGACCACGGUAUCAAUUGUCAAUAAGUCUGGAAAACAAUAGACUUUUGUUCUACUGAUCCUGCAGUGCAUUAAUACAUUAUCACGGUUGUAGAGAAAUCAUAUAUACCCGCCGUGUUAUGCUGCCCUCUGUCACAGUCCUGUGUUGUAUGUUCUGGUGCAGAAAUCGUUCAAUGAUUUUAAUCAAGCCUCAUUUAACCCCAUGAACUAUAUUGAAACAUAUCAGAAAAGUCUCUUUGCAAAGAUAAAUAUCCAACAAGGGAAAAAAACCACUGCAAACUGCUGCCAUAUUUAUAAAGCAAAUAUAUUAAGAACAGGAAAGUCAUUUGAGUUUGAUGAUAAAUCUGCAACCACCAUUUGCACUACUUUAACUCUUUUAAAUAUGGCUUCUAGUUUUACAGAAAAUGGUGUCACUCUAGAAGGGAAUCCAGCUACGAUCAGCUGCUAUAUGAAAUGCUUGAAUGCAGAACACGAAAACCAAUUCCUUUUUAUUGGGUAGAUGCUACAAAUAACAGCUUUUAAAAUGUAUUAUGUAUUGAUUUUUCUCUCCAUUUGGAAUUGAAGAUAAUGUGAAUUUAAUUUUUAAUUCAAAUGUUCCAUUGUGCUUGGCAGUUGGAUCAAAUACGAUGUAAUAAAUAUUCUGUUGUUCUAUCGGA